UAAACGAAUGCAUGAGGAUGACUCACACGCUCGUGAAUCUCCCUCAACACAUCUUAGGCACAGAGUGGGUGUUAGCUGAAUACCCAGCAGCUGCAUACCAGCUGGCUGUCGUGAAGGAUGUUGUUAAUUCGGCACGAUUGAAUUGAGCGAGUCUCGCGCCCUGGGAACUAAGCCCAUGGGACGAACUCCCUCUCAGAGUGUUGGACUGCAACCGACCUAACAAAGCUCUUCGUUUGUUGGUGUGACACCAGUGUGACACCCUGGUCCCAAAGUAUUAUUGUUGUGCCUGAUUGGGAAUAACUAGCAGAAAUACCAGUACAAUUAUCCCAAGUUGAGUAUUAAACCCCUAAAUAUUGAUGUUACCAGUAAUAACGUUUGUUAUGUGGGUUGUGAGUACAUUAUUCAAAUGUACUACCAACUGAUUCCUACCUAUUAUUGUUGUACCUGAUUGGGGAUAACUAGCAGGAUUAUAGUUAUCUCAUGUUGAGUAUUGAACCCUUAAAUAUUGAUGUUACCAGUAAUAACGCCUGUUUUGUGAGUUGAGAGUGCUGUACAUCAUUUAUAUGUACUACCAACUGAUGUAAGAAGCGAGAGUAUCUAAUUGGAAUUGCAAAUGAAUAAGGCCAAGGAGUUGAUCCUUGUAAUUGUAUGUUAAAGACAUCUUUAACCAAACUUAAUUUCAUAACAAUAAACCAUGUUUAGAGUA
Long non-coding RNA from Homarus americanus (American lobster), 706 nucleotides. RefSeq lists it as uncharacterized. The transcript has 2 exons. The record is from RefSeq and is a predicted model, not a curated record. Lineage: Eukaryota; Metazoa; Arthropoda; Malacostraca; Decapoda; Nephropidae.